GUUGACCUCGGAUCAGGUAGGGAUACCCGCUGAACUUAAGCAUAUCAAUAAGCGGAGGAAAAGAAACCAACAGGGAUUGCCCCAGUAACGGCGAGUGAAGCGGCAAGAGCUCAAAUUUGAAAGCUGGCCCCCUCGGGGUCCGCAUUGUAAUUUGCAGAGGAUGCGUCGGGAGUGGCCCCCAUCUAAGUGCUCUGGAACGGGCCGUCAUAGAGGGUGAGAAUCCCGUAUGGGAUGGGGUGUCCGCGACCAUGUGAAGCUCCUUCGACGAGUCGAGUUGUUUGGGAAUGCAGCUCUAAAUGGGUGGUAAAUUUCAUCUAAAGCUAAAUAUUGGCCGGAGACCGAUAGCGCACAAGUAGAGUGAUCGAAAGAUGAAAAGCACUUUGAAAAGAGAGUUAAAAAGCACGUGAAAUUGUUGAAAGGGAAGCGCUUGCGACCAGACUCGCCUACGGGGUUCAGCCGGUAUUCGUACCGGUGUACUUCCCCGUGGGCGGGCCAGCGUCGGUUUGGGCGGCCGGUCAAAGGCCCUCGGAAUGUAACGCCUCUCGGGGCGUCUUAUAGCCGAGGGUGCCAUGCGGCCAGCCCGGACCGAGGAACGCGCUUCGGCACGGACGCUGGCAUAAUGGUCGUAAGCGACC
RNAcentral lists this ribosomal RNA (635 nucleotides) under Penicillium toxicarium. RNAcentral describes it as "eukaryotic LSU rRNA". It matches the Rfam family "Eukaryotic large subunit ribosomal RNA", at positions 1 to 649 of the family's 3401-position model. The record is from RNAcentral. Lineage: Eukaryota; Fungi; Ascomycota; Eurotiomycetes; Eurotiales; Aspergillaceae.